CCAGUCAGGAUGGAAGAUGUGCCGGGAAGGCGUGAGUGAGGAGCGGGGCAGGAAGGGGUCGCUUGCGCCUGGCGCUGGGGUCUCCGAAGACCCCAGGCUCCUCCUCUUCCUGCUCCUUUCUGCUCUCCAGUACCCUGGAGCUGGAUGGGGUGGGGGUAGAUUCCAUCGAGGGUUGCUUCCUUAAAUAAACACCUGGGCCUGUUGUGUGCCGGAUGACCCAGGGAUACCUAUCUGUCCCUUUUCAUUGAGUGACUUGCCCAAGGUCACCUGGCUAGCAAAUGGUGGCUAGGCUCCACAGCCGGCCCUCAUCUUAGCACGAGCUCUGUGCGUUCCCAGGAGGUGGCGUGGGAGUAGUUUCUGCUUAUGCGGCGCUUCUGGUUUUUAACGAAUAGAAGGAAAUUGAGGAGACAAAUGGCAUGGUGGCUUUUAGGAGGUUUGAAAACCACCCAGAGCUCUCGGAAUCAGCCGGUUCAGAUCUCCUGCUCCAUCAAGUUCUACUGUGGGAAAGGUCGUCUGUGCAGGACCUGUCCCUGCUCUGCCACACGAGUCCGUCAGAAUGGAGUUUCAGUUUCCUGGAGGCCAUCUAUGGAGUUUCCAGGGAACUUGUACCGGGGAGAAGGCAUCGUGCAUGC
Long non-coding RNA from Ailuropoda melanoleuca (giant panda), 632 nucleotides. RefSeq lists it as uncharacterized. The transcript has 3 exons. The record is from RefSeq and is a predicted model, not a curated record. NCBI's taxonomy places the organism in Eukaryota, Metazoa, Chordata, Mammalia, Carnivora, Ursidae.